This 497-nucleotide ribosomal RNA is filed under the name uncultured bacterium. RNAcentral's name for it is "partial 16S ribosomal RNA". It matches the Rfam family "Bacterial small subunit ribosomal RNA", at positions 28 to 507 of the family's 1533-position model. The record is from RNAcentral.
GAUGAACGCUGGCGGCGUGCCUAAUACAUGCAAGUCGAGCGAACAGACGAGGAGCUUGCUCCUCUGACGUUAGCGGCGGACGGGUGAGUAACACGUGGAUAACCUACCUAUAUGACUGGGAUAACUUCGGGAAACCGGAGCUAAUACCGGAUAAUAUAUUGAACCGCAUGGUUCAAUAGUGAAAGACGGUUUUGCUGUCACUUAUAGAAGGAUCCGCGCCGCAUUAGCUAGUUGGUAAGGUAACGGCUUACCAAGGCGACGAUGCGUAGCCGACCUGAGAGGGUGAUCGGCCACACUGGAACUGAGACACGGUCCAGACUCCUACGGGAGGCAGCAGUAGGGAAUCUUCCGCAAUGGGCGAAAGCCUGACGGAGCAACGCCGCGUGAGUGAUGAAGGUCUUCGGAUCGUAAAACUCUGUUAUUAGGGAAGAACAAAUGUGUAAGUAACUAUGCACGUCUUGACGGUACCUAAUCAGAAAGCCACGGCUAACUACGUG